AGGCUCAUAGAUCGCGCCGGUGCCCCGCGAGGGGCUUUAAAUGGGAAUGCGGUGCGAGGGGCCUGCCCCCUCAAUUCCGCGGCUGUCCCUGCAACUGUAAGCGGCGAGCGCGAUGCACAUGUCCUCUUGUCGAGGGCGGCCACUGGACCCACUGGUCUGGGAAGGCGUGCAUCAAGCCUUGACCCGCGAGCCAGGAGACCUGCCGGCGUCUGGUCGCUCUU
RNAcentral lists this non-coding RNA (221 nucleotides) under Sphingobium sp. TCM1. RNAcentral also lists the same sequence under 1 other name. Lineage: Bacteria; Pseudomonadati; Pseudomonadota; Alphaproteobacteria; Sphingomonadales; Sphingobiaceae. The record is from RNAcentral.